AUUGAACGCUGGCGGCAGGCCUAACACAUGCAAGUCGAGCGGUAACACAGGGAGCUUGCUCCUGGGUGACGAGCGGCGGACGGGUGAGUAAUGUCUGGGAAACUGCCUGAUGGAGGGGGAUAACUACUGGAAACGGUAGCUAAUACCGCAUAACGUCGCAAGACCAAAGAGGGGGAGCUUCGGGCCUCUUGCCAUCAGACGUGCCCAGAUGGGAUUAGCUAGUAGGUGGGGUAACGGCUCACCUAGGCGACGAUCCCUAGCUGGUCUGAGAGGAUGACCAGCCACACUGGAACUGAGACACAGCCCAGACUCCUACGGGAGGCAGCAGUGGGGAAUAUUGCACAAUGGGCGCAAGCCUGAUGCAGCCAUGCCGCGUGUAUGAAGAAGGCCUUAGGGUUGUAAAGUACUUUCAGCGGGGAGGAAGGCGUUGAGGUUAAUAACCUCAGCGAUUGACGUUACCCGCAGAAGAAGCACCGGCUAACUCCGUGCCAGCAGCCGCCGCCG
This 504-nucleotide ribosomal RNA is filed under the name uncultured bacterium. Its description in RNAcentral is "partial 16S ribosomal RNA". It matches the Rfam family "Bacterial small subunit ribosomal RNA", at positions 29 to 523 of the family's 1533-position model. The record is from RNAcentral.